UACAGAGGUGGCAAGCGUUGUUCGGAAUUACUGGGCGUAAAGGGCGCGUAGGCGGCCUGGUCAGUCCCUUGUGAAAUCCCUCGGCUCAACUGAGGAACCGCACGGGAAACAGCCGGGCUUGAGUUCGGGAGAGGGAAGCGGAAUUCCGGGUGUAGCGGUGAAAUGCGUAGAUAUCCGGAGGAACACCGGUGGCGAAGGCGGCUUCCUGGACCGACACUGACGCUGAGGCGCGAAAGCUAGGGGAGCAAACGGG
Molecule: ribosomal RNA, 253 nt
Filed under: uncultured Acidobacteriota bacterium
Lineage: Bacteria; Pseudomonadati; Acidobacteriota
Description: uncultured Acidobacteria bacterium partial 16S ribosomal RNA
Rfam family: Bacterial small subunit ribosomal RNA
Source: RNAcentral